UACGUAGGGGGCGAGCGUUGUCCGGAUUUAUUGGGCGUAAAGAGCUCGUAGGCGGCCUGUCGCGUCGACUGUGAAAACCCGCAGCUUAACUGCGGGACUGCAGUCGAUACGGGCAGGCUAGAGUUCGGUAGGGGAAACUGGAAUUCCUGGUGUAGCGGUGAAAUGCGCAGAUAUCAGGAGGAACACCGGUGGCGAAGGCGGGUCUCUGGGCCGAUACUGACGCUGAGGAGCGAAAGCGUGGGGAGCGAACAGG
This 253-nucleotide ribosomal RNA is filed under the name uncultured bacterium. RNAcentral's name for it is "partial 16S ribosomal RNA". It matches the Rfam family "Bacterial small subunit ribosomal RNA", at positions 524 to 776 of the family's 1533-position model. The record is from RNAcentral.